CCUACGUGAGGCAGCAGUGAGGAAUAUUGGUCAAUGGGCGCGAGCCUGAACCAGCCAAGUCGCGUGACGGAUGACUGCCCUACGGGUUGUAAACCUCUUUUAUAAAGGAAUAAAGUGAGGCACGUGUGCCUUUUUGUAUGUACUUUAUGAAUACGGAUCGGCUAACUCCGUGCCAGCAGCCGCGGUAAUACGGAGGAUCCGAGCGUUCUCCGGAUUUAUUGGGUUUAAAGGGAGCGGAGAUGGGUUGUUAAGUCAGUUGUGAAAGUUUGCGGCUCAACCGUAAGAUUGCAAUUGAUACUGGCAGUCUUGAGUACAGUAGAGGUAGGCGAAAUUCGUGGUGUAGCGGUGAAAGGCUUAGAUAUCACGAAGAACUCCGAUUGCGAAGGCAGCAUACUAAACUGCCACUGACAUUGAUGCUCGAAAGUGUGGGUAUCGAACAGGAUUAGAUACCCGAGUAGUC
Molecule: ribosomal RNA, 460 nt
Filed under: uncultured bacterium
Lineage: Bacteria
Description: partial 16S ribosomal RNA
Rfam family: Bacterial small subunit ribosomal RNA
Source: RNAcentral